GAUGAAGAACGUAGCAAAAUGCGAUAAGUAAUGUGAAUUGCAGAAUUCAGUGAAUCAUCGAAUCUUUGAACGCACAUUGCGCCCGCCAGUAUUCUGGCGGGCAUGCCUGUUCGAGCGUCAUUUCAACCCUCAAGCUCAGCUUGGUGUUGGGACUCGCGGUAACCCGCGUUCCCCAAAUCGAUUGGCGGUCACGUCGAGCUUCCAUAGCGUAGUAAUCAUACACCUCGUUACUGGUAAUCGUCGCGGCCACGCCGUAAAACCCCAACUUCUGAAUGUUGACCUCGGAUCAGGUAGGAAUACCCGCUGAACUUAAGCAUAUCAUAAGCGGAGGA
RNAcentral lists this unclassified non-coding RNA (332 nucleotides) under soil metagenome. RNAcentral's name for it is "partial contains 5.8S ribosomal RNA, internal transcribed spacer 2, and large subunit ribosomal RNA". The stretch from base 1 to 120 matches the Rfam family "5.8S ribosomal RNA", at positions 35 to 154 of the family's 154-position model. The record is from RNAcentral.